CUAUGCGCCUUGCCAGCCCGCUCAGUCAGAGUUUGAUCCUGGCUCAGAAUGAACGCUGGCGGCAGGCCUAACACAUGCAAGUCGAACGGAGUUAUAUUGUAGCUUGCUAUGGUAUAACUUAGUGGCAGACGGGUGAGUAAUGUAUAGGAAUCUACCUAGUAGUACGGAAUAAUUGUUGGAAACGGCAACUAAUACCGUAUACGCCCUACGGGGGAAAAAUUUAUUGCUAUUAGAUGAGCCUAUAUUAGAUUAGCUAGUUGGUGGAGUAAUAGCCUACCAAGGCAAUGAUCUAUAGCUGAUCUGAGAGGAUGAUCAGCCACACUUGAACUGAGAUACGGUCCAG
RNAcentral lists this ribosomal RNA (343 nucleotides) under uncultured bacterium. RNAcentral's name for it is "bacterial SSU rRNA". It matches the Rfam family "Bacterial small subunit ribosomal RNA", at positions 1 to 334 of the family's 1533-position model. The record is from RNAcentral.